AAGUCGUAACAAGGUUUCCGUAGGUGAACCUGCGGAAGGAUCAUUAUCGAGUAAGGGUCUUCUAGACCCGACCUCCAACCCUGUGUAUAAUUACCCUGUUGCUUUGGCGGGCCCGUCUUUAACCGGUACCGUCGGGGUGCUCGUGGACCUCUGACCCGUGCCGUCCAGUAGCCACCAACAAACAUCUUCAAAACCACGUCAAAUCUGAAUCUAAAUUUUAAUAAAUCAAA
RNAcentral lists this unclassified non-coding RNA (230 nucleotides) under plant metagenome. RNAcentral describes it as "partial contains small subunit ribosomal RNA and internal transcribed spacer 1". The stretch from base 1 to 46 matches the Rfam family "Eukaryotic small subunit ribosomal RNA", at positions 1786 to 1831 of the family's 1831-position model. The record is from RNAcentral.